RNAcentral lists this ribosomal RNA (211 nucleotides) under uncultured Sphingobacterium sp. RNAcentral's name for it is "partial 16S ribosomal RNA". It matches the Rfam family "Bacterial small subunit ribosomal RNA", at positions 335 to 545 of the family's 1533-position model. Lineage: Bacteria; Pseudomonadati; Bacteroidota; Sphingobacteriia; Sphingobacteriales; Sphingobacteriaceae. The record is from RNAcentral.
ACUCCUACGGGAGGCAGCAGUAAGGAAUAUUGGUCAAUGGGCGGAAGCCUGAACCAGCCAUGCCGCGUGCAGGAUGACUGCCCUAUGGGUUGUAAACUGCUUUUGUCCAGGAAUAAACCUUUCUACGUGUAGGAAGCUGAAUGUACUGGAAGAAUAAGGAUCGGCUAACUCCGUGACGGAGGAUCCGAGCGUUACCAGCAGCCGCGGUAAU